Molecule: ribosomal RNA, 462 nt
Filed under: uncultured bacterium
Lineage: Bacteria
Description: bacterial SSU rRNA
Rfam family: Bacterial small subunit ribosomal RNA
Source: RNAcentral
GACGAACGCUGGCGGCGUGCCUAACACAUGCAAGUCGAACGGAACUCGGGACUUCGGGUUCUGAGUUUAGUGGCGAACGGGUGAGUAACGCGUGAGGAACCUGCCUUUCAGUGGGGGACAACAGUUGGAAACGACUGCUAAUACCGCAUAAUGUGUUUUGGGGGCAUCCCCGAGACACCAAAGCUUUAUGUGCUGAAAGAUGGCCUCGCGUCUGAUUAGAUAGUUGGUGAGGUAACGGCUCACCAAGUCUGCGAUCAGUAGCCGGUCUGAGAGGAUGAACGGCCACAUUGGGACUGAGAUACGGCCCAGACUCCUACGGGAGGCAGCAGUGGGGAAUAUUGGGCAAUGGGGGAAACCCUGACCCAGCAACGCCGCGUGAAGGAGAAGGCCUGGUUGUAAACUCUUUUAGCAGGGACGAAGAACGUGACGGUACCUGCGGAAAAAGCAACGGCUAACUACGUG